UUUGUUUUUCACAGCCUGUGAAUUGUUUUAAGGGCAUGUCACAAAUUUAGGUGUAAAAAUUGCUUUAUGAAAUUUUUAGGAGAGAGGUUAAAGAGGUAUUAGGUGUCUCUCCUCAGCUGAAACGUUUUUUUAAUUCAGAGAGAAAAUGCAGAGCAAGAUAAAACCAGACCCGUGUUAGUUCUCAGAUCACCAACUGUGAAUUGUCUGUGUUACGCUCUUAAAUUAAUACAUUACUGAAAUGGGGAGAGCAAUUUAUAUCUCCUAGCUAUUAUUUUACAUGCCUGUGCACCUGAGAAAAUAACCAUUUUAUGAUCAGCUCCCAUGAUGAGGAGUUUUGUAGCUGUGAAGUAGGUGUUCUUGUUUCAAGUGACUCCUGUGUUUUUCAACAAAGGGGUAGUCCUUUGAGCCAAGGUUUCAGAUUGUGAGGAGCUGCGUGAUCAUUUAAAUUGUACUUUAUCUAGUGAAUAUGAAUGCUGGGCUUCCAAAACUUGCAGUUUAAAAUCUAACUACAGAGACCAUUGUAUUUACGCUACAAAGAAAUGGGAAAGUUUGGAGAGGGCAGGGAGGAGUGUUAACUGUCAUGACAUCAGAUAUUCAAGUGGUAGAUAGAGGCAUCUUUGCUGUACCAUGUGUUAGUGUAAGUACCUGCUUUUAUGUAUAAAUGCCCACUGCUUUCCUUCCCUGGUGUUGCUGUGUUUCCAGACUGUCAUGUGCGUACAUCUUAAAGGGAAGAGGCUCUGGUAUUUUGUGAUUCUAAAUUGGUUGCCUGCUCCCUCUGCUGACUUGCUUGAGUGGGCUAAAGCUAAACAGAAGUACUCUGAAAUGAAUCUUCUUGUGAAGUGUGGAGGACUGUUGAACAAGUGGAGAUUUGAUGAAUUGCCAUAGAAAAAUGAUUUGGUACUUCUAAAAGUAGUGUUUUGUUUUCCAAAACACGGUAUUAAAACCCCACCCAACUAUUUCUAAAGUGUUUCUUUCUGCAAAUACCGUGGGAUGGCACUAAGCUUCUGAGUUUGUCCUUUCUGAAGCAGGUAUUUUGUCAGCAUUUGCCUAACCCACAGGCUGUCACAUUAUUAGAACAUUGCUACUUAUUACUGAUCUUUGUCAUACAGUUUAUUGUAAAUAUGAAAGUAUUUUU
This is a long non-coding RNA of Neopsephotus bourkii (Bourke's parrot), 1135 nucleotides long. RefSeq lists it as uncharacterized. The transcript is spliced from 2 exons. NCBI's taxonomy places the organism in Eukaryota, Metazoa, Chordata, Aves, Psittaciformes, Psittacidae. The record is from RefSeq and is a predicted model, not a curated record.